GGGCGCGUAACUCAGCUUGGAUAGAGUACCAGCCUUCUAAGCUGGGAGUCGCGGGUUCGAAGCAAGCCCUUCCG
The sequence is a transfer RNA, 74 nucleotides long. It matches the Rfam family "tRNA". Rfam says of the family: Transfer RNA (tRNA) molecules are approximately 80 nucleotides in length. Their secondary structure includes four short double-helical elements and three loops (D, anti-codon, and T loops). Further hydrogen bonds mediate the characteristic L-shaped molecular structure. tRNAs have two regions of fundamental functional importance: the anti-codon, which is responsible for specific mRNA codon recognition, and the 3' end, to which the tRNAs corresponding amino acid is attached (by aminoacyl-tRNA synthetases). tRNAs cope with the degeneracy of the genetic code in two manners: having more than one tRNA (with a specific anti-codon) for a particular amino acid; and 'wobble' base-pairing, i.e. permitting non-standard base-pairing at the 3rd anti-codon position.